This is a small nuclear RNA of Eremothecium sinecaudum, 189 nucleotides long. NCBI's taxonomy places the organism in Eukaryota, Fungi, Ascomycota, Saccharomycetes, Saccharomycetales, Saccharomycetaceae. The record is from RefSeq and is a predicted model, not a curated record.
CGGAAACAUUGCCACAGUUAGCUUUAUCUGUCUCUAACAGUUGCUAAUUGCCAGCCAUUCCAGCUAUAGCUUGGAAUGCUAGUUUCCCAGAACAAUAUGACUGGAUAGGAAGUUCAUGGACUGUGUGUCACGUUUUGAUAUUAUACAUUGCGUGGCGAUAGACCAAGAAUGUCGAAGAAAGCCAACAUU